This 465-nucleotide ribosomal RNA is filed under the name uncultured bacterium. Its description in RNAcentral is "partial 16S ribosomal RNA". It matches the Rfam family "Bacterial small subunit ribosomal RNA", at positions 28 to 507 of the family's 1533-position model. The record is from RNAcentral.
GACGAACGCUGGCGGCGUGCUUAACACAUGCAAGUCGUACGGUAAGGCCCUUUCGGGGGUACACGAGUGGCGAACGGGUGAGUAACACGUGAGUAACCUGCCCACAACUUUGGGAUAACGCUAGGAAACUGGUGCUAAUACUGGAUAUGUGCUCCUGCUGCAUGGUGGGGGUUGGAAAGCUCCGGCGGUUGUGGAUGGACUCGCGGCCUAUCAGCUUGUUGGUGGGGUAGUGGCCUACCAAGGCGGCGACGGGUAGCCGGCCUGAGAGGGUGACCGGCCACAUUGGGACUGAGAUACGGCCCAGACUCCGACGGGAGGCAGCAGUGGGGAAUAUUGAACAAGGGGCGCAAGCCUGAUGCAGCAACGCCGCGGGCGGGAUGACGGCCUUCGGGUUGUAAACCGCUUUCAGCAGGGACGAAGCUUUUUGUGACGGUACCUGCAGAAGAAGCACCGGCUAACUACGUG